Molecule: transfer RNA, 71 nt
Filed under: Marmota monax (woodchuck)
Lineage: Eukaryota; Metazoa; Chordata; Mammalia; Rodentia; Sciuridae
Rfam family: tRNA
About the family: Transfer RNA (tRNA) molecules are approximately 80 nucleotides in length.
Source: Rfam by way of RNAcentral
GGGAUUGUGGCUCAGCGGUAGAGCGCUCACCUAGCACGAGUGGGACCCGGGUUCGAUCCUCGGCACUACGU